GGAGAAAUGGCCGAGUGGCUGAAGGCGGCAGAUUGCUAAUCUGUUGAAGGGGUGUAUGCCUCUUCCGAGGGUUCGAAUCCCUCUUUCUCCG
RNAcentral lists this transfer RNA (91 nucleotides) under Candidatus Auribacterota bacterium. RNAcentral's name for it is "tRNA-Ser". It matches the Rfam family "tRNA". From Rfam's summary of the family: Transfer RNA (tRNA) molecules are approximately 80 nucleotides in length. Lineage: Bacteria; Pseudomonadati; Candidatus Auribacterota. The record is from RNAcentral.